Molecule: ribosomal RNA, 1436 nt
Filed under: Brevibacterium sp.
Lineage: Bacteria; Bacillati; Actinomycetota; Actinomycetes; Micrococcales; Brevibacteriaceae
Description: bacterial SSU rRNA
Rfam family: Bacterial small subunit ribosomal RNA
Source: RNAcentral
CUGCGUGCUUAACACAUGCAAGUCGAACGCUGAAGCCUGGUGCUUGCACCGGGUGGAUGAGUGGCGAACGGGUGAGUAACACGUGAGUAACCUGCCCCUGACUUCGGGAUAAGCCCGGGAAACUGGGUCUAAUACCGGAUACGACUGCCGGACGCAUGUCUGGUGGUGGAAAGUUUUUUCGGUUGGGGAUGGGCUCGCGGCCUAUCAGUUUGUUGGUGAGGUAAUGGCUCACCAAGACGACGACGGGUAGCCGGCCUGAGAGGGCGACCGGCCACACUGGGACUGAGACACGGCCCAGACUCCUACGGGAGGCAGCAGUGGGGAAUAUUGCACAAUGGGGGAAACCCUGAUGCAGCGACGCAGCGUGCGGGAUGACGGCCUUCGGGUUGUAAACCGCUUUCAGCAGGGAAGAAGCGCAAGUGACGGUACCUGCAGAAGAAGUACCGGCUAACUACGUGCCAGCAGCCGCGGUAAUACGUAGGGUACGAGCGUUGUCCGGAAUUAUUGGGCGUAAAGAGCUCGUAGGUGGUUGGUCACGUCUGCUGUGGAAACGCAACGCUUAACGUUGCGCGUGCAGUGGGUACGGGCUGACUAGAGUGCAGUAGGGGAGUCUGGAAUUCCUGGUGUAGCGGUGAAAUGCGCAGAUAUCAGGAGGAACACCGGUGGCGAAGGCGGGACUCUGGGCUGUAACUGACACUGAGGAGCGAAAGCAUGGGGAGCGAACAGGAUUAGAUACCCUGGUAGUCCAUGCCGUAAACGUUGGGCACUAGGUGUGGGGGGCAUUCCACGUUCUCCGCGCCGUAGCUAACGCAUUAAGUGCCCCGCCUGGGGAGUACGGUCGCAAGGCUAAAACUCAAAGGAAUUGACGGGGGCCCGCACAAGCGGCGGAGCAUGCGGAUUAAUUCGAUGCAACGCGAAGAACCUUACCAAGGCUUGACAUACACCGGACCGUCCUGGAAACAGGUCCUCUUCUUUGAAGCUGGUGUACAGGUGGUGCAUGGUUGUCGUCAGCUCGUGUCGUGAGAUGUUGGGUUAAGUCCCGCAACGAGCGCAACCCUCGUUCUAUGUUGCCAGCACGUGAUGGUGGGAACUCAUAGGAGACUGCCGGGGUCAACUCGGAGGAAGGUGGGGAUGACGUCAAAUCAUCAUGCCCUUUAUGUCUUGGGCUUCACGCAUGCUACAAUGGCUGGUACAGAGAGAGGCGAACCCGUGAGGGCAAGCGAAUCCCUUAAAGCCAGUCUCAGUUCGGAUCGUAGUCUGCAAUUCGACUACGUGAAGUCGGAGUCGCUAGUAAUCGCAGAUCAGCAACGCUGCGGUGAAUACGUUCCCGGGCCUUGUACACACCGCCCGUCAAGUCACGAAAGUCGGUAACACCCGAAGCCGGUGGCCUAACCGUAAGGAGGGGGCCGUCUAAGGUGGGACUGGUGAUUGGGACU